Symphalangus syndactylus (siamang) is the source of this 535-nucleotide long non-coding RNA. RefSeq lists it as uncharacterized. The record is from RefSeq and is a predicted model, not a curated record. NCBI's taxonomy places the organism in Eukaryota, Metazoa, Chordata, Mammalia, Primates, Hylobatidae.
UCUACCUGCCACCUGGUAGUUUACAUGCAAAGGGGAAUAAAGGAAGCCAAAUGACUGUAAGUUUCUUGAAUAAUCCACACCAGAAAGCAUUGCCUACAGACUGUAACUGCCCACUAUUGACUCUGUUGCUUCAUGAUGAAUGCUGGAUGAAACAUCUUCAAAUUCUACCUGAUGUAUGUAUGAUGUCAACAUGACUUAAGGCCUUACGGGAUCAUCCCUAGCACUGUGAAACUGGAGGAAGAAGCAGCAUUCAAGUGAGCGAAUGUGUAUUUGGACUGAGCGAAGGGAAUAUUCUUCAAGAGAGAUUCAAAAGGCUCCUGAAGGAGAGGAGUCAUAAAGGAUAGCCAAGGCCUUAUCCAGGUGAGCAAUUUCUAUAAGGUGCAGCAAAACCCGGAGGCAUCAGAGAGCAGAACACAACUGCAGAACAGAGGACCCCAAGUGGCAGAGGCAAAGGCUUACAAAAGUUGUUCAUAUCAAAGGCACCCACCCACUGAUGUGCCAGGUCCAGAAUGCACUGCCUUGUCACUCCUGGAAG